CACCCAGACUCCUACGGGAGGCAGCAGUGGGGAAUAUUGCACAAUGGGGGAAACCCUGAUGCAGCGACGCCGCGUGAGUGAAGAAGUAUUUCGGUAUGUAAAGCUCUAUCAGCAGGGAAGAUAAUGACGGUACCUGACUAAGAAGCCCCGGCUAACUACGUGCCAGCAGCCGCGGGAAUACGUAGGGGGCAAGCGUUAUCCGGAUUUACUGGGUGUAAAGGGUGCGUAGGUGGCAGGGCAAGUCAGAUGUGAAAGCCCGGGGCCCAACCCCGGUACUGCAUUUGAAACUGUCCGGCUGGAGUGCAGGAGAGGUAAGCGGAAUUCCUAGUGUAGCGGUGAAAUGCGUAGAUAUUAGGAGGAACACCAGUGGCGAAGGCGGCUUACUGGACUGUAACUGACACUGAGGCACGAAAGCGUGGGGAGCAAACAGGAUUAGAUACCCGCGUA
RNAcentral lists this ribosomal RNA (447 nucleotides) under uncultured bacterium. RNAcentral describes it as "bacterial SSU rRNA". It matches the Rfam family "Bacterial small subunit ribosomal RNA", at positions 328 to 792 of the family's 1533-position model. The record is from RNAcentral.